This 497-nucleotide ribosomal RNA is filed under the name uncultured bacterium. Its description in RNAcentral is "partial 16S ribosomal RNA". It matches the Rfam family "Bacterial small subunit ribosomal RNA", at positions 28 to 507 of the family's 1533-position model. The record is from RNAcentral.
GAUGAACGCUGGCGGCGUGCCUAAUACAUGCAAGUCGAGCGAACAGACGAGGGGCUUGCUCCUCUGACGUUAGCGGCGCACGGGUGAGUAACAUGUGGAUAACCUACCUAUAAGACUGGGAUAACUUAGGGAAACCGGAGCUAAUACCGGAUAAUAUAUUGAAGCGCAUGGUUCAAUAGUGAAAGACGGUUUUGCUGUCACUUAUCGAUGGAUCCGCGCCGCAUUAGCUAGUGGGUUAGGUAACGGCUUACCAAGGCGACGAUUCGUAGCCGACCUGAGAGGGUGACCGGCCACACUGGAACUGAGACACGGUCCAGACUCCUACGGGAGGCAGCAGUAGGGAAUCUUCCGCAAUGGGCGAAAGCCUGACGGAGCAACGCCGCGUGAGUGAUGAAGGUCUUCGGAUCGUAAAGCUCUGUUAUUAGGGAAGAACAAAUGUGUAAGUAACUAUGCACGCCUUGACGGUACCUAAUCAGAAAGCCACGGCUAACUACGUG